This 346-nucleotide ribosomal RNA is filed under the name uncultured eukaryote. RNAcentral's name for it is "partial small subunit ribosomal RNA". The record is from RNAcentral.
UGAUCAUCUCGCCGACUUCGAUGUCCAGAUUCACGUCGUUGCCCGUGGCGUCGACGGAAGCGGUCCGGGGUUCGAAGAGCUCCGCCUGGACGGCGGCGGCAUCGGCAUCCGGGCGUUUCAGGGCGCUGCGAAGCACCUCUUCGAAGCGAACGUCCUUACGCCGGUAUCCGGGCGUAUCCAUGUUGGCGAUGUUUCCCGCGAUCGCCUUGCCCCGCAAGCCGGUGGCCCUCAGGCCCGCCUGCAGGAUAUCUACGACACUGUUUCCAUCUGCCAUCUCGCACGUCCUUCCAUCUGCAGUUGGCCCUGCUCGCGGUAGCGUCGAACCUUCUCCCGCAGGGUUCGGUCU